RNAcentral lists this ribosomal RNA (124 nucleotides) under Indoplanorbis exustus. RNAcentral's name for it is "partial 5.8S ribosomal RNA". It matches the Rfam family "5.8S ribosomal RNA", at positions 1 to 115 of the family's 154-position model. Rfam says of the family: 5.8S ribosomal RNA (5.8S rRNA) is a component of the large subunit of the eukaryotic ribosome. It is transcribed by RNA polymerase I as part of the 45S precursor that also contains 18S and 28S rRNA. Functionally, it is thought that 5.8S rRNA may be involved in ribosome translocation. The record is from RNAcentral. Lineage: Eukaryota; Metazoa; Mollusca; Gastropoda; Planorbidae.
AAAAAAGUACAACUUUGAGCGGUGGAUCACUCGGCUCGUGCGUCGAUGAAGAGCGCAGCCAGCUGCGUGAAUUAAUGUGAAUUGCAGAACACAUUGAACAUCGACACCUUGAACGCACAUGGCG